Molecule: long non-coding RNA, 3128 nt
Organism: Prinia subflava (tawny-flanked prinia)
Lineage: Eukaryota; Metazoa; Chordata; Aves; Passeriformes; Cisticolidae
Exons: 5
Source: RefSeq, a predicted model, not a curated record
AAAAAGACUCAUCAGUCACUGCAACUGUGAUGUGAUAUAAGGAUUAGUUCAUAGUAGAUAAUGUAGCAUUCCAGGAGAGAGUUCUAAUGCUGUCUCAAGGCUGAAAUAUUACAUUACACACGAUUUGUAACAGAUUCAAGAGAAGGGAAAUACUUUGGUUAUGAUUAUCUCAAAGCUACUGGUCUCUCAAACAAGGUUUGCAGCUGUCCAGGGAAACCCCUGCACUUUCCCAGGGUCAAAUCAUCUCUGAAGAACGGAAAGCAUUUGUAGUCUGUGCAGUAACAUAACUUAAAGAAAACAGGAGAGAAAAAAGAAGAAUGUAUUUUUUUCCCAAAAUUGCCUGAAGAACAGAAAUUCUAGAUUGUGAUUGGAAGAUGGAAAAAUCAAGGUUUCAUCUGGAGUAUCCUACAAUCAGAAGGAAAGCAGCUAGGACAACAACUUUAAGAAUUAAGUCCUACAUAUCUUCGAGCUACAAAAGAAACAGGAAGAUAAGGACAAUUUUUCCAAGGCCAAGACUUGCUAGCAGGAUUGGCUCAUGCAUCUUCAUGAUCCGAGUUUGCUACAUUCAAAGGAAGAGGAACAAUUGUCAGACUGCUGGUGCCUGUUACAAGCUCUGCAUGUAAGAGCAGUGGCCCUCCUGCCUGUGCCUGGGAGGCCACAGUGUGCUCCUCCUGCUCCCUCUCUGGUCUGGAUCCUGGAUCAUCACACACUGAUCCAAGGAUAACACGGGAGUGACAGAAGACAAACACAGGUAGGCAGAUGGUCAGGAGGAAGAGGUGCAUCACAAAUAUGUGCAGGGGAAAGCAAACUGUUAGGAAGUCAUUAAGCCUUGGGUAUUCCACAUUGUCCCAGAGUAAACUCCCUCCCUAGAAAUCUGUUUUUCUGAUUAUUUCAGAUAUGACCCCCAUAAGAUUUAGAGUGGGCCUUGGUCAACUUCAGCUUUCUGUUGCAAAAUCUGCAAAGAACGUGAUGGGAAAUGGAAGCACUUAUACCCAGUUUGAGGCUGUCUCUCUCAAGCUUGGCUCUUACCAGCUCAGAUGAGAACACACCAAAGUGGAGUUCAGGUGUGGAGCUUGAGCCUGGUGCUAUGCAGCACUGCUGUCAUGAACUUCAUUUCAUUAAUUUUUACUAAAAUCAGCUUGUUUUUCUUGCAGCUUAAAUAGAGAAGUAAGAGGAAACAGAAACAAACACUCCUGUCCCACUCCUUCAGUCCUGGGGGUCAGAGUAUGACAGCCUUAGUGUGACCACACCAAUCCCACAUACACAUAAGGGUCACCACCGAUUUUAAACGUGUUCUUCAAAUGCCAGGUAGAGAUCAGAUCCCACCUGUGCAUCCCAGCUCUGCCCACAGCAGCACUUUUCCCCCCACAAGGCACUAAAUUACUCCAGCACUGAGAUAACAAAACCAGUGCUACCCCCUCCAAGGUGAACGCAGAGCCUGGAUUUUGCAGAAGAGUAAGCUUCCACCUCUCACCUCCCAUCAUAACCCAUUUAAUUCUGUAAUCCUGUUGUGCAGGCACCAUCUGUUUCCCCAAAGGGAAGGUGCCUGCUCUUUAAGGAAUGUAGAAAAAUUGAGGUUUUGAGAACACAAGUACUCCUUAUCUGUAUAGUUAUAUGCCCUGUAAAUCUCACCAAUACCCAUCCUUUCUAUUUCAAGUUUCUUAAAGUUGAACCACGACAAAAGAAAAAAAAGAAGGAACAUUAAGAAUUCAUCCAAUUCUUGAUGAUCUGAUGGAGAAAAAGAAGAAAUCAAAUUACUAGAAAGCAUUUGAGUGCACAACACUUUACUGAGGAAGUAUCAUUGGGUCUCUCUGGCCUUUAGAAUAAACCAUUACCUUUCAAUGAAAAGUUUAGUUCAUAUUGUGUCAGGAAAACCCUUAUCUAUUACUUGGAACCAAGCCCUGGCUGCCAAUUGAUUCUGGCCCAUGAAGGCUCCAAAUGAGAUGGGCUUUGAGUCAGAAUUUGUUCACAUGCAGAGAAACAUCAGUAAAACCAUCCAGUCAGGAUUUGUGUCACAACAAGAUCUGUGUUACAAAUAUGAUUAUUUGCACAAUGAAGGAGGAAGACAAAGGAAAAGUGGAACUAAUUUUCUUUAUGGACUUUAUUCUUCCCCUUUUAUUCAUAUUUGAAGUUCCUUCUUGCCUUAUCUUGUCUGCUUUGACUGUAAGGUCUUCUGGGCUUUUUGCACAUUUUCAGUGUCCACCACAAGAUCAACUUAUGAGACUUUGAAAUAUUACUAGGGCUCAUCUCAGUUCCAAUUCCAAACCUGCCUUGAUGGAUUAUAUCCAAAAAUACUUAAUGGAUUAGUGAUAUUCUGAUGUCAAUUUUAAAUAAUUUUCAUCUACAGCUUGUUUCACUAAUCCUAAUGAAUCAAUGGCUUCAGAACACUGAACAAACUCAAAAUACAGCAAAGUUGUUUGCCUGCUGGAAGAAUAAAAGUAAAGCCAAAUGCUGAUUCUGAACACUUUUCACCAAGAGGCUAAAAUACAAGGGUUUGCUCAUUCUUUUCAGAAAACACAGUGGCUUUGGUCAAAGGCUGCUUGGCAUUCUGGAUCUGAAAAGUGCACAGCUGACCCCUGCUGAUCUCUAGUUACGACAGCAGAAAUCAAGAAAAUGCAGCAUUGGCAUCUGCCAACUGCACUUGGGCAUCCACGACAGAAGAUGAACCAGUAUGAGUUGACAGCCUUGAAAUAUUUAUCUGAUCCAUAUUAUUUUCAUCUUAGGCCUUCAUUUAAGCCUGCAAUUUAGAUGAUGACAUGUUUCUUUCCUUUGCAGAAAUGCAGACAAGAUAUUUUGCACAUGAAAAGUUUGACAUUAGCAGAGUGAAUUAUAGGGAUAUUGAUGUACUCUGAUUUCUCAAAAGGUUACUGUGAUCUUUUGUUGAUUAAGAGACAUGAUGUCACUAAGAUAAAUGCUUCAGUUGCUAUUAACAACAUCUCCCACUGAAACAUCAAACAUUUUUACACAAAGUGCUGGGUAACCUAAGGAAAGGUUACUUCUCAUGUCAGAGAAGGAAAUCUGUAACCUUAAUGAUUUUGCUUUGCACUACAGUAGAAAUGUAAAUGCUUAAUUUAAGCAACACUGAUGCACCAUUCUUCACAGCUCAGAAAUCAAGCAUUAAAAGCCAC